Lutra lutra (Eurasian river otter) is the source of this 244-nucleotide long non-coding RNA. RefSeq lists it as uncharacterized. NCBI's taxonomy places the organism in Eukaryota, Metazoa, Chordata, Mammalia, Carnivora, Mustelidae. The record is from RefSeq and is a predicted model, not a curated record. The transcript has 3 exons.
CACAGGGGAGGAGGGCAGGCACUGGAAACUUCAGCCCAGAACACUCAACUGAAAAGCAUUCCCACAUACCUCCCUCCGCUGGGGCAAGUGGUGAGGAAGGGCACAGACAACAUGACGGAAAGAUGAAAAAUCUAAAGCAGAGGGAGGUUAAGAAGCUUGCAGCAAGCACAAGAAGAAGUCUGGAUGUUCACAGUUAGGAGUCAAAGUAUGCUCUUACCUACCACAUUAUGAAAUGAGGACGGGA